GGCGCGUAGCUCAGUUGGUAGAGCAAGUGACUUUUAAUCACUGGGUCACAGGUUCUCCCUAAGUCA
This 66-nucleotide transfer RNA is filed under the name SAR116 cluster bacterium. RNAcentral describes it as "tRNA-Lys". The record is from RNAcentral. Lineage: Bacteria; Pseudomonadati; Pseudomonadota; Alphaproteobacteria; Puniceispirillales (SeqCode).